GUUCCCAUCCCGAACACGGAAGUUAAGCUCUCCAGCGCCGAUGGUAGUUGGGGCUAACGCCCCUGCAAGAGUAGGACGUUGCUAGGC
RNAcentral lists this ribosomal RNA (87 nucleotides) under Anoxybacteroides rupiense. Lineage: Bacteria; Bacillati; Bacillota; Bacilli; Caryophanales; Anoxybacillaceae. The record is from RNAcentral.